ACAAAACAAAACAGACACAAAGACCACUUUUCUGAAGGAGGAAGAGACUGAGGUUAAGAAAACAGACUGGAGAGCUCUUGCAGUAACCCAGGCAAAGCACAUGGCUGAUACAAGUGUAACUUCUGGUGCAGGAUUUUUUGUUGUUUUUAAAGACAGAGUCCCAUUGUGUAGGCCAGCUGGCCUGGAAGUCACUAUACAGACCAGGCUGGUCUGUAACUCCCAGAGACUGCCUAUGAUUGAGUGUGGAGUUUCUGAAUGCCAGUCAAGCACUCUACUACAGCCCCAGUUUCUGGAGCAUUCUUAAGAAAAUUUUCUGCAUGGGUGGAAAUAUAUCUAUGGUGCACAAAAUGGUAGCUACUAGUCACAUGUGGCUGUUGAACACUCUAAACAUGGCUUAUGUGAAUCUUACUAUUUCUUUUCAAUACUGGGGGAAAAAAUAGGGCCUUGCACAAGAGUGCUGUGGAAUAAUCCUCUGUACACUGUGAAAGUGUGUUGUUCUCAUUAUUAAUAAAAAGCUGAUUGGUUGAUAGCUAGGCAGGAUUUUUGGGACAGAGAGAAUACUGGACGCAGAGAGAAGUGAGAUGAACGCACCGUGUUGAAAGAAGGUACUGCCACGCGGCAGAGGGUAGAUAAGAAAUAUGGAUUGUUUAAAUGUAAGCAUUAGCUAAUAACAAGCCUGAGCUAUCGGAUGAGCUUUAUAAUUAAAAUUAAGUCUCUGUGUCAGUUAUUUGGAAACUGGCAGGUGGGAAAGAAAAGUCCACCUAUACAAGAGCUAUAUCUCUAGCACCCUUGCAUAUUUUUGUGUGUGCAUGUGGGUGUACUUAUUUGUGUGUACACCACUACACCCAGUUUAUGCAGUACUGGGGUUCAAACCCAGGUCUUGAGCAUGCUAGGCAAGCACUCUGAGCUACAGGCCCAGGAUUUGUCUGUUUUGGUUUUAGGCAGGGUCUUACUACGUGGACCAGGCUGGCUGGCCGGCCUCAACUCAGAGAUCUGCUUCUGCCUCUUGAGCGCUGAGAUUAAAGGUAUGCACUAACAUACCCAGCUUCCCCCACGCCCCAAAUAUUUACUUAUUUAUUUUUUGUUUUUUCAAGACAGGGUUUCUCUGUGUAGCCCUGGCUGUCCUGGAACUUGCUCUGUAGACCAUGCUGGCCUUGAAUUUACAGAGAUCCGCCAGUCUCUGUUUCCUGAGUACUGGGAUUAAAGGCAUACACCACCACUGCCUAGCUUCCAAGAUUUAUUCUUAUUUAUUUAUAUUGUGCAUGUGAGGGCAGGCAUUCUUAGAGACUAGAGUAGGGUGUCAUAGCCUCUAGAACUGGAGUGACAGGUAGUGGUGAGCUGCCUGAUGUGCGUGCUGGGAUCCAAACUCUAGUUCUCUCUAGGAGCAACAAGUGCUCUGAAGCACCAGACCAUCUUUCCAUCACCCUCAAACCACUGCCUUUUGUGGUUUUUUGGAGGCAGGAUUUUACUCUUUAGUUCAGUCUGGCCUUGAUCUCAUGGCCUGGGCUAAGUCUGUUUUUCUGGAGUGGAAAUACCUGUCCACAGGGCUGUCCCUGCCCUGGGUGUGUUGUAAGAGAGGCCUCAGAGGACAGGCAGUCACUCUGAAACCUGAACCAUCUUGGGAUCAAAUAAAAUGGGAAGAGAGUCAGAAAUCACAACUCCAGCAUCUUCUGGCCCGGCCAGGGCUGGGACACGGCUGCCUUUGACCAGCUUUAGGAGACUUCUCAAUACACUGUGGAAUAGGUAGUAGCUGUGGGGGACCAAAUGGGACAGGGCGGUGGGUGCCUACCCUUUCUUUACCUUUCAUUUACUCUUUGGCCUUGGGAGCAUCUGUCACAGAUCAUGCUUGGCUGUAGCCAAGGGCAACAUGCCAGUUUCCCAGAGGCAGUAACAGGAAGCUGGGACAUGGCAAGCUGCCCCUACUCCCAGCAGCCUCUUAGCCCAAGCACCAUUGUGUGUGUGUGUGUGUGUGUGUGUGUGUGUGUGUGUGUGUGUGUGUGUGUAUACUUGUCCAUUCGGGCACAUGUGAAGGCCAGAGGUUGGCAUUGGAAUGUCUUACCUGAAACACUUCACCCUCUCUAUCUAUCUAUCUAUCUAUCUAUCUAUCUAUCUAUCUAUCCCUUUAUCCAUCUAUCCAUCCAUCCAGAUACCCUCACUGAACCCGAAGCUCACUGUUUUAGCUAGACUGGCUGGUCGUGGAGUUACACCUCCUCCCGUCUCCGCUCCCCAGCACAGAGUUACAAGCAAUGCUGCAGCACCACUUUUUACACGGGUUCUGGGCGGGGUGGGUAAGACAUUUCCCAUUGGGCCUUCUACGCAGCCGGUUGUUUGUUUUUACAACAGGGUUUACUAUGUAGAUCCAACUGGUCUGGAACUUGCAGUGAUACGAGUUCUCCUGUCUCCUCAGUGUUGGCAUUACAGGUAUGAACCAGCAUGCCUAGUUAACAAACCCUUUAAAUAAUCCAGCUAUAUCUAAGGACUCGUUCUAAAAAUGUCUAUACAUGCAUAAAAUCAAAUACCUAAGAAAAAAUAACAGAAGCUAAUGAACUGCUAGAAAAACCAAAUAGGCAAUAUAUGAAAAGAGCUUUUUUUUUUCUUUUUCCAAGACAGGGUUUCUCUGUGUGGUUUUGGUGCCUGUCCUGGAUCUCGUUCUGUAGACCAGGCUGGCCUUGAACUAACAGAGAUCUGCCUGGCUCUGCCUCCCUAGUGCUUGGAUUAAAAGCGUGCGCCACCACUGCCUGGCUAACAAGGUGCCCGAAGCUGCGGGGUGGUAGGUAAAUAUCGGCCAGGAGGAUCCUGGCUUGUGCUGACACAAUCAUAGGAAAUAUGAACUAUCAGUUAUGGUUCCUCCUUUCCAAAUGGAAAGUUCUUCCUUAAAAUUUUCUUUUCUUAAGCUGGGUGUGGUGGCAUACACCUGUUACCCUAGCACUUAAGGGGCAGGUGGAUCUCUGUGAGUUGGGAGGCCAGCCUGAUCUAUGCAGUGAGAUUCUGUCUCAAACACACAAACCCUAAAACUUUCCUUUUUUCUCUUCUGUUUUCUUGUCUUAAUCACCUAUGUGCUGAGAUUACGCUUGGGUAUUCAUUACUGGUGCUAAGAUUUAACUCUUACAUGUGCUAGGCAAGUACUCUGCCAGUCACACCCAGCCUCUCAAUUUUUUUCAAGACAUUUGUGUCUUUUUAUUAAUUUAAAAAAUGAUUUAUUUUUAUUUUAUGUGCGUUGGUGUUUCACCUGCGUGGAUGUCUGUGUGAGGGUGCCAGAUCCCCUGGUACUGAAGUUACAAACAGGUGUGAGCUGCCAUGUGGGUGCUGGGAACUGAACUUGGAUCCUCUGGAAGAACAGCCUGUGUGCUCUUAACUGCUGAGUGAUCUCUCCAGCCCUCCUUUAAAAUGUUUUUUUUUUAAUUAUUAUUUUUUAUUUUUAUUUUUUAAGAUUUAUUUAUUUAUUUAUUUAUUUAUUUAUUUAUUUAUUUAUUUAUUUAUUAUGUAUACAGUGCUCUGUCUGCAUGUAUUCCUGCACACCAGAAGAGGGCACCAGAUCUCAUUACAGAUGGUUGUGAGCAACCAUCCCCUGAGCCAUCUCUCCAGCCCCUUAAAAUGCUUUUAAGGUGUGGGGGGGAAAUAUAUAUAUAUAUAUAUAUUUUUUGAGACAAGGCCUCGUGUAGCCCAGACUAUCCUCCAACUGUAUAUGCAGAUGAAAAUAACAUAAAACUUCUGAUUCUUGCUGGGCGGUGAUUUUAUUUUAAUUUUGUGUGUGUAGGUUUUUGCCUGCAUGGAUGUCUGUGCACCACAUGUGUGCAGUGCCCAAGGAGGCCAGAAGAGGGCGUCUGGCCCGGAUUUGGAGUUAGAGGGCUGCUAGCUGCUGUGUGGGUGCUGGAAAUUGAACCCUGGUCCUCUGCAACAGCAGGAAGUGCUCUUAACUGAGCCAUUUCUCCAGCCUCAGAUUUUGGUUUCUUCUGAUUUAUUCAUUGAAAGCAAUUUUUAUUUUUAUUUUUUGACAGGGUCUCUAUACCACAGCCCUUGCUAUGUCCUCAAACUCAGAUCUGCCUGACUCUGCCUCCCAAGUGCUCGGAUUAAGGCAUAUAUAUGCCACCACACCCAGUGAAAGGAAACAUUUUCAACACUGUGUGUGUGUGUAUGUACAUGCGUGUGUAGAUCUCUUACGGCAGUGGGUUCCUUCCCUUGGACACCUGAGUCCUGGGGAUUAUACUCAGAUCGUCAGGCUUGGGGCAAUCUCCGUUACCUGCUGAACCACUUAGUUAGCCCCAGAUGCUGGUGUCUAGAAGCCUUCUAGGCCUGAGGAGUGUGGCACAGUGAUUGACCAGCAGGAGUUGAGUUCUCAGGGUUUGGUUCCCAGCACCUUAAACACACUCACACAAAAUCAAGCUGGGUGUGGUGUGAUCCCAUCAGUGGGAGUCAGAGGCAGGAAGAUCACUGCAAGCUCCCAGUCAACCUUGUUUACACAGUUCCAGCCAGGGGCACCAAGAAAGUCUUUCUCCCAAAACAAACACACACAGGCUGAAGAUACGGCUCAAAGGUUAAGAGCACAUAUUGCUCUUAAGAGGAUCCAAGUUCAAUUCCUAGUUCUUAGGUCAGGUGGCUCAUAACCAUCUCUAACUCCAGCUCCAGAGGGAUUCAACACCUGGGGCCUCUGUGGGCACCUGCACUCACCAACACAUAUCCGCAGACACACAAACACACUUAAAAAUAAUAAAAUUAAUCUUAAAAAAAAAAA
Peromyscus californicus insignis is the source of this 4732-nucleotide long non-coding RNA. RefSeq lists it as uncharacterized. The record is from RefSeq and is a predicted model, not a curated record. The transcript is spliced from 2 exons. Lineage: Eukaryota; Metazoa; Chordata; Mammalia; Rodentia; Cricetidae.